CCAGACUCCUACGGGAGGCAGCAGUGGGGGAUAUUGCACAAUGGGGGAAACCCUGAUGCAGCGACGCCGCGUGAGUGAAGAAGUAUUUCGGUAUGUAAAGCUCUAUCAGCAGGGAAGAAAAAAGACGGUACCUGACUAAGAAGCCCCGGCUAACUACGUGCCAGCAGCCGCGGUAAUACGUAGGGGGCAAGCGUUAUCCGGAUUUACUGGGUGUAAAGGGAGCGUAGACGGCAAUACAAGUCGGAAGUGAAAUACCCGGGCUUAACCUGGGAACUGCUUUGGAAACUGUGCAGCUAGAGUGCAGGAGAGGUAAGUGGAAUUCCUAGUGUAGCGGUGAAAUGCGUAGAUAUUAGGAGGAACACCAGUGGCGAAGGCGGCUUACUGGACUGUAACUGACGUUGAGGCUCGAAAGCGUGGGGAGCAAACAGGAUUAGAUACCCCAGUACA
This 447-nucleotide ribosomal RNA is filed under the name uncultured bacterium. RNAcentral's name for it is "bacterial SSU rRNA". It matches the Rfam family "Bacterial small subunit ribosomal RNA", at positions 331 to 797 of the family's 1533-position model. The record is from RNAcentral.